RNAcentral lists this ribosomal RNA (492 nucleotides) under uncultured bacterium. RNAcentral describes it as "partial 16S ribosomal RNA". It matches the Rfam family "Bacterial small subunit ribosomal RNA", at positions 29 to 507 of the family's 1533-position model. The record is from RNAcentral.
AGUGAACGCUGGCGGUAGGCCUAACACAUGCAAGUCGAACGGCAGCACAGUAAGAGCUUGCUCUUACGGGUGGCGAGUGGCGGACGGGUGAGGAAUACAUCGGAAUCUACUUUUUCGUGGGGGAUAACGUAGGGACACUUACGCUAAUACCGCAUACGACCUACGGGUGAAAGCAGGGGAUCUUCGGACCUUUCGCGAUUGAAUGAGCCGAUGUCGGAUUAGCUAGUUGGCGGGGUAAAGGCCCACCAAGGCGACGAUCCGUAGCUGGUCUGAGAGGAUGAUCAGCCACACUGGAACUGAGACACGGUCCAGACUCCUACGGGAGGCAGCAGUGGGGAAUAUUGGACAAAGGGCGCAAGCCUGAUCCAGCCAUACCGCGUGGGUGAAGAAGGCCUUCGGGUUGUAAAGCCCUUUUGUUGGGAAAGAAAAGCAGCAGGUUAAUACCCCGCUGUUCUGACGGUACCCAAAGAAUAAGCACCGGCUAACUUCGUG